GAUGAACGCUGGCGGCGUGCUUAACACAUGCAAGUCGAGCGAAGCACUCCAUUGGAUUUCUUCGGAUUGAAGAUGGUUUGACUGAGCGGCGGACGGGUGAGUAACGCGUGGGUAACCUGCCUUACACAGGGGGAUAACAGUUAGAAAUGACUGCUAAUACCGCAUAACCCGCUAGGGUCACAUGGCCCGGACGGAAAAGAUUUUAUCGGUGUAAGAUGGACCCGCGUCUGAUUAGCUGGUUGGUGAGGUAACGGCCCACCAAGGCGACGAUCAGUAGCCGACCUGAGAGGGUGAUCGGCCACAUUGGGACUGAGACACGGCCCAA
This 325-nucleotide ribosomal RNA is filed under the name uncultured bacterium. Its description in RNAcentral is "bacterial SSU rRNA". It matches the Rfam family "Bacterial small subunit ribosomal RNA", at positions 28 to 334 of the family's 1533-position model. The record is from RNAcentral.